UUUUUGCUAUUCUGUUCAAUUGCCUGACCCAGAGAAUCAGCAUAAUGGGAUUGCAAUGGGAACCAAGGCAAAGAAGAUGGGAUCACACACAAAUAUUGGACCAGAACUUGAUUAGCAAGCAUGAUUACUCACUCAUUGAACUUGGCAUUAGGGGCCUUAAAUGGGUUUGUUCCCAAAAGGCAAUUUGGAGCUCUUUUUCACUAGAUUCAUGCCUUGUCCUGUGCAUGGCUGGAUUCUUACUGAAGAAGUAGUAAAAAGGAAGAGGAAAGAAAAACACUCUGAUGUGUUGAAGUGGCCAAGCAUUCUAUAAAAGCCCUAAAACUUUCCUUGGCAACAUGUGGUCAAAUGAAGCCUAAAUUAGCAUUGUUGUCAUCAAUGAGCCCAUCCCAAGGAAUCAUUGGAUCCCCUUGGCAAAGACAAAUGCCAUAUGGCUUUGUUUGUUAGGGACAUGGCUUCUCAUUCCCAACAAAAGAGAGAAGGAGAGGAGAAGUCAUGGUGCUACUUCACACAAAAGAGGCUUCAUAACCAUUCAUCUUACAAGGUUCGAAUGGAGUGGUGGAAUAGGGUUGGGUUGGCCUAGGCCUCAAACAAAGACAAUGAAUGGUAAAAAUUACACAUUCAUCCAUGUGUACAUUUAUUGUCAUUAUAUGGAAGCACAUAUUCCAUUCUUGCUUAUUUUCCAUGUGCCAAAGUGGAGCCAAAGAUCUUAUGACUUAAACAACAAUAAAAUAAAAUAGAUGUCAUUAUACUAAUACACACAUUGUUAACAACAACAAGGAAUUUGACAAAAAUGGUAAUUAAAGUCUACUCACAUUCUAGUAAGAUUCUGCAAUUAGAAUGGAACUU
This 846-nucleotide long non-coding RNA is filed under the name Physcomitrium patens. Its description in RNAcentral is "long non-coding RNA (PPAT_LNC002592)". The record is from RNAcentral. Lineage: Eukaryota; Viridiplantae; Streptophyta; Bryopsida; Funariales; Funariaceae.